This 253-nucleotide ribosomal RNA is filed under the name uncultured bacterium. RNAcentral describes it as "partial 16S ribosomal RNA". It matches the Rfam family "Bacterial small subunit ribosomal RNA", at positions 524 to 776 of the family's 1533-position model. The record is from RNAcentral.
UACGUAGGAUGCAAGCGUUAUCCGGAAUUAUUGGGCGUAAAGAGUGUGUAGGUGGCGUGUUAAGUUAAAUGUUAAAUCUCAGGGCUCAACCCAGAGGCUGCAUUUAAUACUGGCAUGCUUGAGGUAUGGAGAGGUAAGCGGAAUUAGUAGUGUAGCAGUGAAAUGCGUAGAUAUUACUAGGAACACCAAUGGCGAAGGCAGCUUACUGGCCAUAUUCUGACGCUGAGACACGAAAGCGUGGGGAGCGAACGGG